GCUGAACUAGUUUCAAAACCAAAAUCAAUUCUGCGAAGCAUAUCUCCAUUGGUUAGUCCCUCAAAACUCGUGGAACCUGGAAUUUGAGCAGAAAUAUCACUGUUUUCUUCAUCGACAAGGGGUGAUUGUUGAUUCAAAAACAGAAGGAACUUCGUUCGGGCUUGUUGAAGACAUUGGAUGAAACAGAAAUUGAUCCGGAGAGUUGAUUGAGGCCUGAAUUAUAGUUGAACCAGAGUUAGCAUCCUUGGUUACGGAACCUGGACUAGCUACACAGAUACCAGCAUUGACAACUGGCGUUUCCUUGACCACGAGCAAAUCUUGAUCUUCGUUGGAGAACGUCAUAGUUGAAGCCUCAAAACACCUGCAAGAGGAUGAUUGAUUCCAAGUCAAUAAUACUAGUUUGAUGUUUCAAGUUCUUAAAAACACUAGUUAUGUAUGGUUAGAUGAGUAAGAAUAUCAAAAAUAGUCCAAAAGCAAAUGAUAAAACAACAGAAA
This is a long non-coding RNA of Gossypium arboreum, 495 nucleotides long. RefSeq lists it as uncharacterized. The record is from RefSeq and is a predicted model, not a curated record. Lineage: Eukaryota; Viridiplantae; Streptophyta; Magnoliopsida; Malvales; Malvaceae. The transcript has 2 exons.